This 285-nucleotide long non-coding RNA is filed under the name Gossypium barbadense (sea-island cotton). Its description in RNAcentral is "long non-coding RNA (GBAR_LNC000327)". The record is from RNAcentral. Lineage: Eukaryota; Viridiplantae; Streptophyta; Magnoliopsida; Malvales; Malvaceae.
UCGGUUCAUCCAUUUUCUUAAUUUUUUUAGUUCUCAAAUUUUCAUUUAAUAUCUCUCAAAAUUGUGUUGUUUUAAUUUUAUAUUUCGUAAUUUCUUUGUUUUUAAUUGAUUUUUAUAAUGGCAAUUUGCUUAUUCGUUUCGACAAGAUGCACAUAUCCAACAUCCAAUUGCAAAUGGUAAGAAAAUAUUUUCUUUUUAAUUUUAAUUAAGUUCAUUAUUAAGUUGUUAACAUUAUUAAUUUUAUAAUUUUUUAGGUUUAUAUAAUCAGGCCGAAGAUCAGAUUUU